This 632-nucleotide long non-coding RNA is filed under the name Helianthus annuus (common sunflower). RNAcentral describes it as "hypothetical non coding rna". The record is from RNAcentral. Lineage: Eukaryota; Viridiplantae; Streptophyta; Magnoliopsida; Asterales; Asteraceae.
UAUAUUCAUGAGCAGUAUUGAUCAAGUUUGAUUUUGAUUGAUGACAAAAAAACCCAAGGCUAUUGGGUAUGAGAUUGGUACAAGAUUGAUAUAAAAAUUCAUGAGUAUAGAAUGAGUAUGAGAAUAGGUGAAACCCGACCUAAUUACCCGAAACUAUAUGCGCGUUUUACCCGAAUCGUAAAAUAACAGGGCUUACGAUCCUUUUGAGGAACUUACGUUAUUGACUUCUUCUUCUAUCGCCAUCCAGGAACUUAUGUUCUUAUUUCUUUUUUGUUUCCUGAAGUUAUACGGAUUUGAAGGAAGAAAAGGCUCCAUUUUGCACGAUGAUCUAUGGAGUGUAGUAGUGUGAUGAAGCCAACUCUUGGUGAAUUGAACAUUCUAUGGCUGAUUAUUAGUGCCAUACAUUUGGGUAUAUAAUAGUUAUGAUAAUAGAUAAUCAGGACUCAGGAGUGGACUAAUGACACCAGUCAAUGAAUUUGACACCGUCAGGGGCGGAUCUACACCCAGCUCGGGGGUUCCUGGGAACCCGUUCGGUUCAUACUUUAUAGUGUUAACUUAUUUAAGAAAUUCUGGAGGAAUCCUAUAAAAUUUUGUGAGGGAACCUUAUAAACAAAUGUGAAGAUGGUGCACUG